This is a long non-coding RNA of Vidua chalybeata, 378 nucleotides long. RefSeq lists it as uncharacterized. The record is from RefSeq and is a predicted model, not a curated record. Lineage: Eukaryota; Metazoa; Chordata; Aves; Passeriformes; Viduidae. The transcript is spliced from 4 exons.
CUUGAAACAACCAGCCUGACUUGUACAGUGUUUAGAGCUAAAAGUCUUUUGGAUUAUGUCACCUCAGACCUUAACAAUAGUCAGCUCCUUCUAAGGUGAAACAUGAAAGAGAACAGAGAAUUCUACAGGUGAACCAGGUUUUUGAGCUUCUUUUUUCCACUUACUUAUCUGAAAUGAACAUGGCACGUCUCUAAGAAAAUCUGACAGGAAGCAAAGAACAAAAGAGCAAGUAAGAUAUCACCUCUGCCAAACAGCAGUUCUAGGACAUGAUCUGGACCUUUACUCCCUUAGAAGCCUUCUUUCCUUUGUACGAGAUAAAAACCCCUGUGAGCCAGCAAUGUGUUGUUACCUACUGCCUAGUGAGAGAACAAAUCCCGA